GCCUUCGUGGUAUAGUGGGUAGUACGCUCGACACGUAACCGAGAGGUCCGUGGUUCGAUUCUCGGCAAAGGCG
This 73-nucleotide transfer RNA is filed under the name Stegodyphus mimosarum. It matches the Rfam family "tRNA". Rfam says of the family: Transfer RNA (tRNA) molecules are approximately 80 nucleotides in length. Their secondary structure includes four short double-helical elements and three loops (D, anti-codon, and T loops). Further hydrogen bonds mediate the characteristic L-shaped molecular structure. tRNAs have two regions of fundamental functional importance: the anti-codon, which is responsible for specific mRNA codon recognition, and the 3' end, to which the tRNAs corresponding amino acid is attached (by aminoacyl-tRNA synthetases). tRNAs cope with the degeneracy of the genetic code in two manners: having more than one tRNA (with a specific anti-codon) for a particular amino acid; and 'wobble' base-pairing, i.e. permitting non-standard base-pairing at the 3rd anti-codon position. The record is from Rfam by way of RNAcentral. Lineage: Eukaryota; Metazoa; Arthropoda; Arachnida; Araneae; Eresidae.